This 308-nucleotide ribosomal RNA is filed under the name Streptomyces sp. SID10362. Its description in RNAcentral is "partial 16S ribosomal RNA". It matches the Rfam family "Bacterial small subunit ribosomal RNA", at positions 1 to 308 of the family's 1533-position model. Lineage: Bacteria; Bacillati; Actinomycetota; Actinomycetes; Kitasatosporales; Streptomycetaceae. The record is from RNAcentral.
CAUUCACGGAGAGUUUGAUCCUGGCUCAGGACGAACGCUGGCGGCGUGCUUAACACAUGCAAGUCGAACGAUGAACCACCUUCGGGUGGGGAUUAGUGGCGAACGGGUGAGUAACACGUGGGCAAUCUGCCCUGCACUCUGGGACAAGCCCUGGAAACGGGGUCUAAUACCGGAUACUGACCUGCCAAGGCAUCUUGGCGGGUCGAAAGCUCCGGCGGUGCAGGAUGAGCCCGCGGCCUAUCAGCUUGUUGGUGAGGUAAUGGCUCACCAAGGCGACGACGGGUAGCCGGCCUGAGAGGGCGACCGGC